RNAcentral lists this ribosomal RNA (437 nucleotides) under uncultured bacterium. Its description in RNAcentral is "partial 16S ribosomal RNA". It matches the Rfam family "Bacterial small subunit ribosomal RNA", at positions 29 to 507 of the family's 1533-position model. The record is from RNAcentral.
AGCGAACGCUGGCGGCAGGCUUAACACAUGCAAGUCGAGCGGGCAUCCUUGUGGUGUCAGCGGCAGACGGGUGAGUAACGCGUGGGAACGUGCCCUUCGGUUCGGAAUAACUCAGGGAAACUUGAGCUAAUACCGGAUACGUGCGAGAGCAGAAAGGUUUAUCUGCCGAAGGAUCGGCCCGCGUCUGAUUAGCUAGUUGGUGAGGUUAUGGCUCACCAAGGCGACGAUCAGUAGCUGGUCUGAGAGGAUGAUCAGCCACACUGGGACUGAGACACGGCCCAGACUCCUACGGGAGGCAGCAGUGGGGAAUAUUGGACAAUGGGGGCAACCCUGAUCCAGCCAUGCCGCGUGAGUGAUGACGGCCUUAGGGUUGUAAAGCUCUUUUCUUCGGGACGAUAAUGACGUUACCGGAGGAAUAAGCCCCGGCUAACUUCGUG